UGCCUGGCGGCCAUAGCGCGGUGGUCCCACCUGAUCCCAUGCCGAACUCAGAAGUGAAACGCCGUAGCGCCGAUGGUAGUGUGGGGGCUCCCCAUGCGAGAGUAGGACACUGCCAGGCAU
RNAcentral lists this ribosomal RNA (120 nucleotides) under Yersinia pseudotuberculosis. The record is from RNAcentral. Lineage: Bacteria; Pseudomonadati; Pseudomonadota; Gammaproteobacteria; Enterobacterales; Yersiniaceae.